RNAcentral lists this ribosomal RNA (510 nucleotides) under uncultured bacterium. RNAcentral's name for it is "partial 16S ribosomal RNA". It matches the Rfam family "Bacterial small subunit ribosomal RNA", at positions 28 to 507 of the family's 1533-position model. The record is from RNAcentral.
GACGAACGCUGGCGGCGUGCCUAACACAUGCAAGUCGAACGAAGAGCGAUGGAAGCUUGCUUCUAUCAAUCUUAGUGGCGAACGGGUGAGUAACGCGUAAUCAACCUGCCCUUCAGAGGGGGACAACAGUUGGAAACGACUGCUAAUACCGCAUACGAUCUAAUCUCGGCAUCGAGGAUAGAUGAAAGGUGGCCUCUACAUGUAAGCUAUCACUGAAGGAGGGGAUUGCGUCUGAUUAGCUAGUUGGAGGGGUAACGGCCCACCAAGGCGAUGAUCGGUAGCCGGUCUGAGAGGAUGAACGGCCACAUUGGGACUGAGACACGGCCCAGACUCCUACGGGAGGCAGCAGUGGGGAAUCUUCCGCAAUGGACGAAAGUCUGACGGAGCAACGCCGCGUGAGUGAUGACGGCCUUCGGGUUGUAAAGCUCUGUUAAUCGGGACGAAAGGCCUUCUUGCGAAUAGUGAGAAGGAUUGACGGUACCGGAAUAGAAAGCCACGGCUAACUACGUG